CGCGAGCUAGCUUAACGGCAGAGCGCCUGGCUCAUAACCAGGAAAGUGGAGGUUCGAAUCCUUCGCUCGCUACAA
RNAcentral lists this transfer RNA (75 nucleotides) under marine bacterium AO1-C. RNAcentral describes it as "tRNA-Met". It matches the Rfam family "tRNA". Rfam says of the family: Transfer RNA (tRNA) molecules are approximately 80 nucleotides in length. Their secondary structure includes four short double-helical elements and three loops (D, anti-codon, and T loops). Lineage: Bacteria; Pseudomonadati; Bacteroidota; Cytophagia; Cytophagales; Cytophagaceae. The record is from RNAcentral.